Ailuropoda melanoleuca (giant panda) is the source of this 74-nucleotide non-coding RNA. The record is from Rfam. NCBI's taxonomy places the organism in Eukaryota, Metazoa, Chordata, Mammalia, Carnivora, Ursidae.
CUCCAAAGAACAUUCAACGCUGUCGGUGAGUUUGGGAUUUGAAAAAACCACCGACCGUUGACUGUACCUUGGGG